GGUGACCUGGUUGACGCGCUGUGUUGAUGUUUCCAGUACUAUGCAGGAUUCAAACUCUCGACCUAAGGAUCACCAAUACACGGCAUUAUCCCGUUGGGUCACUGACAUUCCUGAACUGCAUGAAGCCUCUUUCACACGGUGAAAAUGUCGAUUGAUAAGCACACAACAUCAAGAAAACUCCAAGCACACAUUUCACAAGAGAAUUAAGGGCUUUCUUAAAAGAGUACAGAUCUGAAAAUGUACACUGUUGAUGGUAUCCACCUAAUAAUAGCUGUAUGGUAGUUAUACAAUAACAAAAUGGUCACAUAAGAAAGAUGGGCUAAUUGCUCCAACUUAAUUGGCCAAUAUUUCUCAAAUGGAACUAAAUAAAACAAAUUCUGUUUGAUUUUUGUGAGGCUUGGUCUAAAUAUUUUAUGUGGCGAUUUUGGUGAAUUUUUUAUUAUUUUUGUAGCCUGUGAAUCUUUUUAUCAUGUUUAGCUUUAAUAUGAAAUUGUGGGAAAAGUGUUCAGGGUUUUAUAAAUGCAUCUGGUUCUAGAGAUUAAUAUUCUAAAGGAAUUUUGAGUCCAGGUCAAUCUGGUGAGGAGAAAUAAGCCUACUUCAUGAUUUUUUUACAAUAGCUCCACCUUUGGGUGCAGUACCACAAAUUUGGGUUUAUGGGUGGUGGGGGUUAUUGGUAACCAUACCUGAAAAUGUCAAGAGUUUUCGACUCAUGGCAUAGGCUGCAGUAUGACUUUUACAGAAUUUGAGAAAAAAAAAGAAA
Molecule: long non-coding RNA, 760 nt
Organism: Gadus macrocephalus (Pacific cod)
Lineage: Eukaryota; Metazoa; Chordata; Actinopteri; Gadiformes; Gadidae
Exons: 2
Source: RefSeq, a predicted model, not a curated record